GUAGGGUGCAAGCGUUAAUCGGAAUUACUGGGCGUAAAGCGUGCGCAGGCGGUUACGUAAGACAGUUGUGAAAUCCCCGGGCUCAACCUGGGAACUGCAUCUGUGACUGCAUAGCUAGAGUACGGUAGAGGGGGAUGGAAUUCCGCGUGUAGCAGUGAAAUGCGUAGAUAUGCGGAGGAACACCGAUGGCGAAGGCAAUCCCCUGGACCUGUACUGACGCUCAUGCACGAAAGCGUGGGGGGAGCAAACAGGAUUAGAUACCCUGGUAGUCCACGCCCCUAAACCGAUGUCAACUGGUUGUUGGGUCUUCACUGACUCAGUAACGAAGCUAACGCGUGAAGUUGACCCGCCUGGGGAGUACGGCCGCAAGGUUG
RNAcentral lists this ribosomal RNA (374 nucleotides) under uncultured organism. Its description in RNAcentral is "partial 16S ribosomal RNA". It matches the Rfam family "Bacterial small subunit ribosomal RNA", at positions 527 to 896 of the family's 1533-position model. The record is from RNAcentral.